AGCUUUGUUCCUCUGCAUUAUGAGGUAAUACAGAAACACAAGAUAUUUUAAUGGUUUUCUCGUUAAAAGUCCACAAUCUUCUGAAAACUAUUCAUUUCAGUUGCUGGACAGAGGAAAUCCAGCCUUGUAAAGUUGAUCAAGACUGCAAAAUAUCUUUUCUUGGGAACGAGAACAAAAGGAACGAACUGGACCAGGAUGAGCUCAACUCUAAACUGACUGGAAUUCUCGACAGCAGCCCGGCAACAAAAGCCAGGUCCUAAGAAAUGGAUUUAACAUCACUGAAAAACAAGAAAUCGCCGACAAAGAAUACCCACAUCUUGAUGUGAAAAAUAGCCAUCUAGUGCGGGUUCGACAUAAAUCUCAAACUACUCUCAUUCCGCAUUAAACAAAAGACUCAUUAAAACAACAACAACAACAACAAAGUAAUGACCCAAACCCGUUUUCUCCCCUCUACUGUUUUGUAGCUGGAGUGUAUGUAAAUAUUCUCAAGAUUUUUUAAUAUUUUCUCAGUAAUAUUAGGUACCGGCUCACAACAAUAGAUUUUUAAAAGAUUAUUUUUGCUAUGUUCACAUCAAAGUAAACGAAAACAUAAGGAAACAAUUUUAAACCAGAAUUUAGUUUUGGAGAUAGUGCUAUAUGGGGUUUGUGAUUUGUGUAACAGUUUUAGCACAAUAAUUUGGUGAUGUUUGAAGCUCUUAUAUGUAUUAUCUACAAAUCUUAGAAGUCCUCUAAUACUUUGUCUGAGAAGUUACCAACACUGACUUUUUACUCGACUGAUUUAAAAAUUAAUUUGCGAAAGCUUGUGAACUCGAGCACGAAUACCGACCCAACCAUCAAAAAAGGUUACACGGCACACGUAAAAUGUCUGCGAAGGCUGCCAUUUUGUAUGCCGGGUACCAUUUAUCCUCUCUAAAUACACAUGAUUUUUUCAGUUGCACAAAACAAAAACAAAUUGUAGCUGCAUUUGAAAUUAGAAGUAAUAUUCCACGCUAUUCAGAAGAAAUACUAUUUCACGCUAACCGAUGUAACCACGUGGUUCAAGCUACUUCGUUUCCAAGUUGAAUUUUUUAUGUCGUCUUUUAUUGUGCUUUAAUUUCGUUGAUAACUGCAUAGACUUUCCAGUAAUCUUCGGUGAUUUAAUUCAAUGCGUAUACAUCAGUAUCCAUUUCGAAGUCCUGGUGAACUCGAGUACAAAUACCGACCCAACCAUCAACAUGCGUUACACGGCACAUGGAAAAUGGCCUCCGCGAGGCUGCCUAUUUCUUUGAGCCGGGUAGCGUUUAUCCUCUCAAAAUACUCAUGAUUCUUAAAGUCACAUGUUUAAAGCUCUUGUCUAUGUAUUAUCUGAAAAUCUUAUAGAAGUCCCCAAGUACUUUGUAUGAGAAGUUACCAACACUGGCUUUUUACUCAGCUGACUUAAAAAUUAAUUUGCGAAAGCUUGUGAACUCGAACACAAAUACCACCUCAACCAUCAACAUGCAGUACAAGGCACACACGGAAAAUGUCAGUUGAGAGGCUGCAUUUCUUGUAUGCCGGGUACUAUUUCUCCUUUCUAAAUACAAAUUCUUUCAGUUACACAAAACAGACAAAUUGUGACUGCAUGCGCCAAUUAUUUUAAGGAUAGGUCCCUUUACCUUGUAAUAGCUAGCUAUUUGAAACUAGAAGUAAUAUUCCACGCUCUUCAGACGAAAUUACUAUUCCACGCUAACCGAUGUAGCCCCAUGGUAUCGUGCACGUGCUUCAAGCUACUUAGUUUCAAAGUUAACGGAUUUUUGCGUCGUCUUUUACUGUGCUUUAACUUCGUUAAAAAUUACAUAGACUUUUCCUCCAAUCUUUACUUAUUUUAUUCGAUAUGUAUACAUCAGUAUCCAUUGCAAACAUUUUUGAACGCGAG
Molecule: long non-coding RNA, 1894 nt
Organism: Pomacea canaliculata
Lineage: Eukaryota; Metazoa; Mollusca; Gastropoda; Architaenioglossa; Ampullariidae
Exons: 2
Source: RefSeq, a predicted model, not a curated record